GGUUAAGCGACUAAGCGUACACGGUGGAUGCCCUGGCAGUCAGAGGCGAUGAAGGACGUGCUAAUCUGCGAAAAGCGUCGGUAAGGUGAUAUGAACCGUUACAGCCGGCGAUGUCCGAAUGGGGAAACCCAGUGCAAUUCGUUGCACUAUCGUUAACUGAAUACAUAGGUUAACGAGGCGAACCGGGGGAACUGAAACAUCUAAGUACCCCGAGGAAAAGAAAUCAACCGAGAUUCCCCCAGUAGCGGCGAGCGAACGGGGAGCAGCCCAGAGUCUGAAUCAGCUUGUGUGUUAGUGGAACGGUCUGGAAAGUCCGACGGUACAGGGUGAUAGUCCCGUACACCAAAAUGCACAGGUUGUGAACUCGAAGAGUAGGGCGGGACACGUGGUAUCCUGUCUGAAUAUGGGGGGACCAUCCUCCAAGGCUAAAUACUCCUGACUGACCGAUAGUGAACCAGUACCGUGAGGGAAAGGCGAAAAGAACCCCGGCGAGGGGAGUGAAAAAGAACCUGAAACCGUGUACGUACAAGCAGUGGGAGCACCUUCGGGUGUGACUGCGUACCUUUUGUAUAAUGGGUCAGCGACUUAUAUUCUGUAGCAAGGUUAACCGUAUAGGGGAGCCGCAGGGAAACCGAGUCUUAACUGGGCGUUAAGUUGCAGGGUAUAGACCCGAAACCCGGUGAUCUAGCCAUGGGCAGGUUGAAGGUUGGGUAACACUAACUGGAGGACCGAACCGACUAAUGUUGAAAAAUUAGCGGAUGACUUGUGGCUGGGGGUGAAAGGCCAAUCAAACCGGGAGAUAGCUGGUUCUCCCCGAAAGCUAUUUAGGUAGCGCCUCGUGAACUCAUCUUCGGGGGUAGAGCACUGUUUCGGCUAGGGGGUCAUCCCGACUUACCAACCCGAUGCAAACUACGAAUACCGAAGAAUGUUAUCACGGGAGACACACGGCGGGUGCUAACGUCCGUCGUGAAGAGGGAAACAACCCAGACCGCCAGCUAAGGUCCCAAAGUCAUGGUUAAGUGGGAAACGAUGUGGGAAGGCACAGACAGCCAGGAUGUUGGCUUAGAAGCAGCCAUCAUUUAAAGAAAGCGUAAUAGCUCACUGGUCGAGUCGGCCUGCGCGGAAGAUGUAACGGGGCUAAACCAUGCACCGAAGCUGCGGCAGCGACACUAUGUGUUGUUGGGUAGGGGAGCGUUCUGUAAGCCUGCGAAGGUGUGCUGUGAGGCAUGCUGGAGGUAUCAGAAGUGCGAAUGCUGACAUAAGUAACGAUAAAGCGGGUGAAAAGCCCGCUCGCCGGAAGACCAAGGGUUCCUGUCCAACGUUAAUCGGGGCAGGGUGAGUCGACCCCUAAGGCGAGGCCGAAAGGCGUAGUCGAUGGGAAACAGGUUAAUAUUCCUGUACUUGGUGUUACUGCGAAGGGGGGACGGAGAAGGCUAUGUUAGCCGGGCGACGGUUGUCCCGGUUUAAGCAUGUAGGCUGGUUAUCCAGGCAAAUCCGGAUAAUCAAGGCUGAGGUGUGAUGACGAGGCACUACGGUGCUGAAGUAACAAAUGCCCUGCUUCCAGGAAAAGCCUCUAAGCAUCAGGUAACAUCAAAUCGUACCCCAAACCGACACAGGUGGUCAGGUAGAGAAUACCAAGGCGCUUGAGAGAACUCGGGUGAAGGAACUAGGCAAAAUGGUGCCGUAACUUCGGGAGAAGGCACGCUGGUGUGUAGGUGAAGUCCCUGCGGAUGGAGCUGAGACCAGUCGAAGAUACCAGCUGGCUGCAACUGUUUAUUAAAAACACAGCACUGUGCAAACACGAAAGUGGACGUAUACGGUGUGACGCCUGCCCGGUGCCGGAAGGUUAAUUGAUGGGGUUAUCCGUAAGGAGAAGCUCUUGAUCGAAGCCCCGGUAAACGGCGGCCGUAACUAUAACGGUCCUAAGGUAGCGAAAUUCCUUGUCGGGUAAGUUCCGACCUGCACGAAUGGCGUAAUGAUGGCCAGGCUGUCUCCACCCGAGACUCAGUGAAAUUGAACUCGCUGUGAAGAUGCAGUGUACCCGCGGCAAGACGGAAAGACCCCGUGAACCUUUACUAUAGCUUGACACUGAACAUUGAGCCUUGAUGUGUAGGAUAGGUGGGAGGCUUUGAAGCGUGGACGCCAGUCUGCGUGGAGCCAACCUUGAAAUACCACCCUUUAAUGUUUGAUGUUCUAACGUUGGCCCCUGACCGGGGUUGCGGACAGUGUCUGGUGGGUAGUUUGACUGGGGCGGUCUCCUCCCAAAGCGUAACGGAGGAGCACGAAGGUUAGCUAAUCCUGGUCGGACAUCAGGAGGUUAGUGCAAUGGCAUAAGCUAGCUUGACUGCGAGCGUGACGGCGCGAGCAGGUGCGAAAGCAGGUCAUAGUGAUCCGGUGGUUCUGAAUGGAAGGGCCAUCGCUCAACGGAUAAAAGGUACUCCGGGGAUAACAGGCUGAUACCGCCCAAGAGUUCAUAUCGACGGCGGUGUUUGGCACCUCGAUGUCGGCUCAUCACAUCCUGGGGCUGAAGUAGGUCCCAAGGGUAUGGCUGUUCGCCAUUUAAAGUGGUACGCGAGCUGGGUUUAGAACGUCGUGAGACAGUUCGGUCCCUAUCUGCCGUGGGCGCUGGAGAAUUGAGGGGGGCUGCUCCUAGUACGAGAGGACCGGAGUGGACGCAUCACUGGUGUUCGGGUUGUCAUGCCAAUGGCACUGCCCGGUAGCUAAAUGCGGAAGAGAUAAGUGCUGAAAGCAUCUAAGCACGAAACUUGCCCCGAGAUGAGUUCUCCCUGAGACUUUAAGUCUCCUGAAGGAACGUUGAAGACGACGACGUUGAUAGGCCGGGUGUGUAAGCGCAGCGAUGCGUUGAGCUAACCGGUACUAAUGAACCGUGAGGCUUAACCUU
This 2902-nucleotide ribosomal RNA is filed under the name Klebsiella pneumoniae. RNAcentral describes it as "23S ribosomal RNA". It matches the Rfam family "Bacterial large subunit ribosomal RNA". The record is from RNAcentral. Lineage: Bacteria; Pseudomonadati; Pseudomonadota; Gammaproteobacteria; Enterobacterales; Enterobacteriaceae.